GGGACUCGUUCGCGAGAUCCGCUCCUCUUGAAAUGCAUUAGCGGUUUGCCCAUUCGCAGAUCUGCUCCGGCGUGAUAAUUAUCUACGUCGCGGCGGUGAUGCCCCUAUCCGGCGCAGCUGCUCCUAACCGUCGCCCCUGUCGCGACAAACUCCUAUGACAAUUUGGCCUCGAAUCAGGUAGGAUUACCCGCUGAACUUAA
Molecule: unclassified non-coding RNA, 200 nt
Filed under: soil metagenome
Description: partial contains internal transcribed spacer 2 and large subunit ribosomal RNA
Source: RNAcentral